AGAGUUUGAUCAUGGCUCAGAUUGAACGCUGGCGGCAUGCCUUACACAUGCAAGUCGAACGGCAGCGCGGGGCAACCUGGCGGCGAGUGGCGAACGGGUGAGUAAUAUAUCGGAACGUGCCCUGGAGUGGGGGAUAACGCAGCGAAAGUUGCGCUAAUACCGCAUACGAUCUAAGGAUGAAAGCGGGGGAUUCGCAAGAACCUCGUGCUCCUGGAGCGGCCGAUAUCUGAUUAGCUAGUUGGUGGGUAAAGGCCUACCAAGGCAUCGAUCAGUAGCUGGUCUGAGAGGACGACCAGCCACACUGGAACUGAGACACGGUCCAGACUCCUACGGGAGGCAGCAGUGGGGAAUUUUGGACAAUGGGCGAAAGCCUGAUCCAGCAAUGCCGCGUGAGUGAAGAAGGCCUUCGGGUUGUAAAGCUCUUUUGUCAGGGAAGAAACGGUAUGGGCUAAUAUCCCGUACUAAUGACGGUACCUGAAGAAUAAGCACCGGCUAACUACGUGCCAGCAGCCGCGGUAAUA
This 521-nucleotide ribosomal RNA is filed under the name uncultured bacterium. Its description in RNAcentral is "bacterial SSU rRNA". It matches the Rfam family "Bacterial small subunit ribosomal RNA", at positions 8 to 525 of the family's 1533-position model. The record is from RNAcentral.